UUUGAAUGUAAAAUGGAAUUUGUAUUGAAUGAUAUAUUUGUACAUGAAAUGGAAAGAUGGUGUAAUUGGAAUUGAAUGGUGUAAUCUUGAAUAUCAUGGUAUAAUUGGAAUUGAAUUGAGAGUUUGAAUGUUGAAUGUUAAUUGGAAUUGAAUGGAAAAAUCAAAAACAUGUGGAAUUUUGAAGAUUCAAACAAUCAAAGAUGACUUGGUGGAGAAGAAAUGCAAGAAAUGGGAUUUAGGAUGGUCAAAAUAGUCAAUUGACUUUGGUCAACU
This 273-nucleotide long non-coding RNA is filed under the name Lathyrus oleraceus (garden pea). RNAcentral describes it as "Pisum sativum (pea) long non-coding RNA (PSAT_LNC011630)". The record is from RNAcentral. Lineage: Eukaryota; Viridiplantae; Streptophyta; Magnoliopsida; Fabales; Fabaceae.